AACGUAGGAGGCAAACGUUAUCCGGAGUUACUGGGCGUAAAGGGCGUGUAGGUGGUUGCGUAAGUCUGGCGUGAAAUAUCUCGGCUUAACCGAGGCAGGUCGUCGGAUACUGCGUAACUGGAGGACGGUAGAGGCGUGUGGAAUUCCGGGUGUAGUGGUGAAAUGCGUAGAGAUCCGGAGGAACACCAGUGGCGAAGGCGACACGCUGGGCCGUACCUGACACUGAUGCGCGACAGCAUGGGGAGCAAACAGG
This 253-nucleotide ribosomal RNA is filed under the name uncultured bacterium. RNAcentral describes it as "partial 16S ribosomal RNA". It matches the Rfam family "Bacterial small subunit ribosomal RNA", at positions 524 to 776 of the family's 1533-position model. The record is from RNAcentral.